This 91-nucleotide transfer RNA is filed under the name Nocardia neocaledoniensis NBRC 108232. Its description in RNAcentral is "tRNA-Thr". Lineage: Bacteria; Bacillati; Actinomycetota; Actinomycetes; Mycobacteriales; Nocardiaceae. The record is from RNAcentral.
GGGUGUGCGGGCCGGGGCCGACUACCGGCUGGUGCCCGCUGAUCCGGAGUGGGCCGCGCAGGCCCGCCGGAUCAUCGCCCGGCUGCACCUG